CGUGCUUACACAUGCAAGUCGAACGAUGAAACUUCCUUCGGGAGGGGUAUUAGUGGCGAACGGGUGAGUAACACGUGGGCAAUCUGCCCUUCACUCUGGGACAAGCCCUGGAAACGGGGUCUAAUACCGGAUAUGACACGGGGUCGCAUGAUCUUCGUGUGGAAAGCUCCGGCGGUGAAGGAUGAGCCCGCGGCCUAUCAGCUUGUUGGUGGGGUGAUGGCCUACCAAGGCGACGACGGGUAGCCGGCCUGAGAGGGCGACCGGCCACACUGGGACUGAGACACGGCCCAGACUCCUACGGGAGGCAGCAGUGGGGAAUAUUGCACAAUGGGCGAAAGCCUGAUGCAGCGACGCCGCGUGAGGGAUGACGGCCUUCGGGUUGUAAACCUCUUUCAGCAGGGAAGAAGCGAGAGUGACGGUACCUGCAGAAGAAGCGCCGGCUAACUACGUGCCAGCAGCCGCGGUAAUACGUAGGGCGCAAGCGUUGUCCGGAAUUAUUGGGCGUAAAGAGCUCGUAGGCGGCUUGUCGCGUCGGAUGUGAAAGCCCGGGGCUUAACCCCGGGUCUGCAUUCGAUACGGGCAGGCUAGAGUUCGGUAGGG
RNAcentral lists this ribosomal RNA (600 nucleotides) under uncultured Streptomyces sp. RNAcentral describes it as "bacterial SSU rRNA". It matches the Rfam family "Bacterial small subunit ribosomal RNA", at positions 43 to 656 of the family's 1533-position model. The record is from RNAcentral. Lineage: Bacteria; Bacillati; Actinomycetota; Actinomycetes; Kitasatosporales; Streptomycetaceae.